CGGGAGAUGUCAGAGUGGUCGAAUGUGCCGGUUUUGAAAACCGGUGAGGGUCACACCUCCGGGAGUUCGAAUCUCCCUCUCCCGGCCA
This 88-nucleotide transfer RNA is filed under the name Sulfurovum sp. RNAcentral's name for it is "tRNA-Ser". It matches the Rfam family "tRNA". Rfam says of the family: Transfer RNA (tRNA) molecules are approximately 80 nucleotides in length. Their secondary structure includes four short double-helical elements and three loops (D, anti-codon, and T loops). Lineage: Bacteria; Pseudomonadati; Campylobacterota; Epsilonproteobacteria; Campylobacterales; Sulfurovaceae. The record is from RNAcentral.